CAGAUGUGAAAGACCCGGGGCCGUCAACCUACGGAAGUAGCAUUUGAAACUGGCAGACUAGAGUACUGUAGAGGGGGGUAGAAUUUCAGGUGUAGCGGUGAAAAUGCGUAGAGAUCUGAAGGAAUACCGGUGGCGAAGGCGGCCCCCUGGACAGAUACUGACACUCAGAUGCGAAAGCGUGGGGAGCAAACAGGAUUAGAUACCCUGGUAG
This 211-nucleotide ribosomal RNA is filed under the name uncultured bacterium. Its description in RNAcentral is "partial 16S ribosomal RNA". It matches the Rfam family "Bacterial small subunit ribosomal RNA", at positions 589 to 793 of the family's 1533-position model. The record is from RNAcentral.